This 67-nucleotide transfer RNA is filed under the name Marmota monax (woodchuck). RNAcentral's name for it is "tRNA.Val". It matches the Rfam family "tRNA". From Rfam's summary of the family: Transfer RNA (tRNA) molecules are approximately 80 nucleotides in length. Their secondary structure includes four short double-helical elements and three loops (D, anti-codon, and T loops). Further hydrogen bonds mediate the characteristic L-shaped molecular structure. tRNAs have two regions of fundamental functional importance: the anti-codon, which is responsible for specific mRNA codon recognition, and the 3' end, to which the tRNAs corresponding amino acid is attached (by aminoacyl-tRNA synthetases). tRNAs cope with the degeneracy of the genetic code in two manners: having more than one tRNA (with a specific anti-codon) for a particular amino acid; and 'wobble' base-pairing, i.e. permitting non-standard base-pairing at the 3rd anti-codon position. Lineage: Eukaryota; Metazoa; Chordata; Mammalia; Rodentia; Sciuridae. The record is from RNAcentral.
GGUUGUGGCUCAGUGGUAGAGCGCUCACCUCACACGUGCAAAACCCUGGGUUCAAUCCUCAGCACCA